GAUGAACGCUAGCGGCAGGCUUAAUACAUGCAAGUCGAGGGGCAGCAGGACUGUAGCCCUACAGUUGCUGGCGACCGGCAAACGGGUGCGGAACACGUACGCAACCUACCCAAAACUGGGGGAUAGCCCGGGGAAACCCGGAUUAAUACCUCGUAACCUUUUUAAGUGGCAUCACUUGAUAAGUAUAGCUCCGGCGGUUUUGGAUGGGCGUGCGCCUGAUUAGGUAGUUGGUGCGGGUAACGGCCCACCAAGCCUGCGAUCAGUAACUGGUGUGAGAGCACGACCAGUCACACGGGCACUGAGACACGGGCCCGACUCCUACGGGAGGCAGCAGUAAGGAAUAUUGGCCAAUGGACGCAAGUCUGAACCAGCCAUGCCGCGUGAAGGAUGAAGGUCCUCUGGAUUGUAAACUUCUUUUAUGGGGGACGAAACCCGGAUAUUCUUAUCCGAUUGACGGUACCUCAGGAAUAAGCACCGGCUAACUCCGUG
This 489-nucleotide ribosomal RNA is filed under the name uncultured bacterium. RNAcentral describes it as "partial 16S ribosomal RNA". It matches the Rfam family "Bacterial small subunit ribosomal RNA", at positions 28 to 507 of the family's 1533-position model. The record is from RNAcentral.